AGUCCUGCAUGACAACAUGGAGAUGCUGUGGACCCUUCUGUGCCUGAUGACUGCUCCUCUGGGUGUCCUGUCUGAUCCGACACUGCAGGAGUCAGGACCUGGCCUGGUGAAGCCUGGACAGACCCUGUCCCUCACCUGCACUGUCACCGGGGGCUCUAUCACUAGUUACUACUGGAGUUGGAUACGCCAGCCUCCUGGGAAAGCUGUACAGUGGAUGGGGAACUUCGAGUUAGGAAGCACAGAGUACAACCCAGCCUUUAAAGACCGCAUCUCCAUCACUGCUGACACAGCCAAGAACCAGUUCUCCCUGCAGCUGAACUCCGUGACCCCGGAGGACACCGCCGUGUAUUACUGUGCGGGACACAGUGAGAGGACUUCAGUGUGA
Fukomys damarensis (Damara mole-rat) is the source of this 385-nucleotide non-coding RNA. Lineage: Eukaryota; Metazoa; Chordata; Mammalia; Rodentia; Bathyergidae. The record is from the annotation of a RefSeq genome assembly.